RNAcentral lists this ribosomal RNA (332 nucleotides) under uncultured archaeon. RNAcentral describes it as "bacterial SSU rRNA". It matches the Rfam family "Archaeal small subunit ribosomal RNA", at positions 501 to 832 of the family's 1478-position model. The record is from RNAcentral.
UUAUUGGGCCUAAAACCGUCCGUAGCCGGUUCUAUAAAUGCCUGGGUAAAUCGUACGGCUUAACCGUACGAAUUCCGGGUAGACCUGUUCAACUUGGGACCGGGAGAGGCUAGAGGUACUCCUGGGGUAGAGGUGAAAUUCUGUAAUCCUAGGGGGACCACCAGUGGCGAAGGCGUCUAGCUAGAACGGGUCUGACGGUGAGGGACGAAGCCCUGGGGAGCAAACGGGAUUAGAUACCCCGGUAGUCCAGGGUGUAAACGCUGCUCGCUUGAUGUUAGUCGGGCUCCGAGCCCAACUAGUGUCGGAGAGAAGUGUUAAGCGAGCUGCCUGGG